UACGUAGGGCGCGAGCGUUGUCCGGAUUUAUUGGGCGUAAAGAGCUCGUAGGCGGCUUGUCGCGUCGACUGUGAAAACCCGCAGCUCAACUGUGGGCUUGCAGCCGAUACGGGCAGGCUAGAGUUCGGUAGGGGAGACUGGAAUUCCUGGUGUAGCGGUGAAAUGCGCAGAUAUCGGGAGGAACACCAAUGGCGAAGGCAGCUCGCUGGGACGGUACUGACGCUGAGACGCGAAAGCGUGGGGAGCAAACAGG
RNAcentral lists this ribosomal RNA (253 nucleotides) under uncultured bacterium. RNAcentral's name for it is "partial 16S ribosomal RNA". It matches the Rfam family "Bacterial small subunit ribosomal RNA", at positions 524 to 776 of the family's 1533-position model. The record is from RNAcentral.